RNAcentral lists this ribosomal RNA (440 nucleotides) under uncultured Oscillospiraceae bacterium. RNAcentral describes it as "bacterial SSU rRNA". It matches the Rfam family "Bacterial small subunit ribosomal RNA", at positions 338 to 795 of the family's 1533-position model. The record is from RNAcentral. Lineage: Bacteria; Bacillati; Bacillota; Clostridia; Eubacteriales; Oscillospiraceae.
CCUACGGGCGGCUGCAGUGGGGAAUAUUGGGCAAUGGACGCAAGUCUGACCCAGCGACGCCGCGUGAAGGACGAAGGCAUUCGUGUUGUAAACUUCUUUGGAGAGGGACGAAAUUGACGGUACCUCUCGAACAAGCCACGGCUAACUACGUGCCAGCAGCCGCGGUAAUACGUAGGUGGCAAGCGUUAUCCGGAAUUACUGGGUGUAAAGGGCGCGCAGGCGGCCUUGCAAGUCGGAUGUGAAAGAUCAAGGCUCAACCUUGACAGGUCAUCCGAAACUGUAAGACUUGAGUGUCAGAGGGGAAAGUGGAAUUCCUAGUGGAGCGGUAAAAUGCGCAGAUAUUAGGAGGAACACCGGUGGCGAAGGCGACUUUCUGGCUGACAACUGACGCUGAGGCGCGAAAGCGUGGGGAGCAAACAGGAUUAGAUACCCCAGUAGUC